UCCCAGGUAACUCAGUGAUAACAAAUCUGCUUGCCAACCAGAAGAUGCAGGUUCGAUCCCUGGCCUGGGAA
RNAcentral lists this transfer RNA (71 nucleotides) under Bos taurus (domestic cattle). It matches the Rfam family "tRNA". From Rfam's summary of the family: Transfer RNA (tRNA) molecules are approximately 80 nucleotides in length. The record is from Rfam by way of RNAcentral. Lineage: Eukaryota; Metazoa; Chordata; Mammalia; Artiodactyla; Bovidae.